GACGAACGCUGGCGGCGUGCUUAACACAUGCAAGUCGAACGGAAAGGCCCUGCUUUUGUGGGGUGCUCGAGUGGCGAACGGGUGAGUAACACGUGAGUAACCUGCCCUUGCCUUUGGGAUAACUUCAGGAAACUGGGGCUAAUACCGGAUAGGAGCUCCUGCUGCAUGGUGGGGGUUGGAAAGUUUCGGCGGUUGGGGAUGGACUCGCGGCUUAUCAGCUUGUUGGUGGGGUAGUGGCUUACCAAGGCUUUGACGGGUAGCCGGCCUGCGAGGGUGACCGGCCACAUUGGGACUGAGAUACGACCCAGACUCCUACGGGAGGCAGCAGUGGAGAAUAUUGCACAAUGGGCGGAAGCCUGAUGCAGCAACGCCGCGUGCGGGAUGACGGCCUUCGGGUUGUAAACCGCUUUCGCCUGUCACGAGGCGUGAGUGACGGUAAUGGGUAAAGAAGCACCGGCUAACUACGUG
This 468-nucleotide ribosomal RNA is filed under the name uncultured bacterium. RNAcentral's name for it is "partial 16S ribosomal RNA". It matches the Rfam family "Bacterial small subunit ribosomal RNA", at positions 28 to 507 of the family's 1533-position model. The record is from RNAcentral.